This 433-nucleotide ribosomal RNA is filed under the name uncultured bacterium. RNAcentral describes it as "partial 16S ribosomal RNA". It matches the Rfam family "Bacterial small subunit ribosomal RNA", at positions 29 to 507 of the family's 1533-position model. The record is from RNAcentral.
AACGAACGCUGGCGGCAUGCCUAACACAUGCAAGUCGAACGAAGGCUUCGGCCUUAGUGGCGCACGGGUGCGUAACGCGUGGGAAUCUGCCCUUUGGUUCGGAAUAACAGCUGGAAACGGCUGCUAAUACCGGAUGAUGACGAAAGUCCAAAGAUUUAUCGCCAGAGGAUGGGCCCGCGUUUGAUUAGGUAGUUGGUGGGGUAAAGGCCUACCAAGCCGACAAUCCAUAGCUGGUCUGAGAGGAUGAUCAGCCACACUGGGACUGAGACACGGCCCAGACUCCGACGGGAGGGAGCAGAGGGGAAUAUAGGAAAAUGGGCGAAAGGCUGAACCAGCAAUGACGGGUGAGUGAUGAAGGAAGUAGGGUAGUAAAGCUCUUUUACACGGGAAGAUAAUGACGGUACCGGGAGAAUAAGCCCCGGCUAACUCCGUG